AGUGAACGCUGGCGGUAGACCUAACACAUGCAAGUCGAACGGCAGCACAGUAAGAGCUUGCUCUUACGGGUGGCGAGUGGCGGACGGGUGAGGAAUACAUCGGAAUCUACUUUUUCGUGGGGGAUAACGUAGGGAAACUUACGCUAAUACCGCAUACGACCUACGGGUGAAAGCAGGGGAUCUUCGGACCUUGCGCGAUUGAAUGAGCCGAUGUCGGAUUAGCUGGUUGGCGGGGUAAAGGCCCACCAAGGCGACGAUCCGUAGCUGGUCUGAGAGGAUGAUCGGCCACACUGGAACGGAGACACGGUCCAGACUCCUACGGGAGGCAGCAGUGGGGAAUAUUGGACAAUGGGCGCAAGCCUGAUCCAGCCAUACCGCGUGGGUGAAGAAGGCCUUCGGGUUGUAAAGCCCUUUUGUUGGGAAAGAAAAGCAGCAGGUUAAUACCCCGCUGUUCUGACGGUACCCAAAGAAUAAGCACCGGCUAACUUCGUG
This 492-nucleotide ribosomal RNA is filed under the name uncultured bacterium. Its description in RNAcentral is "partial 16S ribosomal RNA". It matches the Rfam family "Bacterial small subunit ribosomal RNA", at positions 29 to 507 of the family's 1533-position model. The record is from RNAcentral.